AGUAGUCAUAUGCUUGUCUCAAAGAUUAAGCCAUGCAUGUGUAAGUACGAGCGAAGUACACAGUGAAACUGCGAAUGGCUCAUUAAAUCAGUUGUGGUUCCUUAGAUCGUUGCCCACUACGUGGAUAACUGUGGCAAUUCUAGAGCUAAUACAUGCACUCAAGCCCCGAUCCUCGCGGAGAAGGGCGCAGUUAUUAGACCAAGACCAACGUGCUGGGGACUCCGGUCCCCUCACUCGUCCGUGGUGACUCUGAAUAACUUUGGGCUGAUCGCACGGCCAACGCGCCGGCGACGUAUCUUUCAAAUGUCUGCCCUAUCAAAUGUCGAAGGGACGUGCUAUGCCUCCCUUGUUUGCGACGGGUGACGGGGAAUCAGGGUUCGAUUCCGGAGAGGGAGCAUGAGAAAUGGCUACCACAUCCAAGGAAGGCAGCAGGCGCGCAAAUUACCCACUCCUGACACGGGGAGGUAGUGACGAUAACUAACGAUACGGGACUCAAUCGAGGCUCCGUAAUCGGAAUGAGUACACUUCAAAUCCUUUCGCGAGGAUCCAGUGGAGGGCAAGUCUGGUGCCAGCAGCCGCGGUAAUUCCAGCUCCACUAGCGUAUAUUAAAGUUGUUGCGGUUAAAACGCUCGUAGUUGGAUCUCGAUGGGCUUGGGUACGGAGCCGGCUUAAUGAGGAAAAAGGCGGGGAAAUCGGACCAAUGUACGGGAGGGAUAAUCGCGGUAAUUUCCGCGCCCCCCGGCCCCGGAUACAUGGGUAAUGUGCCGUAAGCUGCUGCGAGCGCUCACGAGAGAUUCAUUCGCCUGAACCCGUGUCCACCAGCAGUGGCCUUGCCCCCGUGGGUUGUCUUCAGUACCCGUCGCUGGCCACCGGCCCAGGCCUUUCUAAAGGGGGUAGAGGGCCCAGGAGCACGGCACCCGUUAGCGCGGGAUCGCGACAGUGCGGGCACCUGCCUGGCGGUAGGCUCGAGAGAGACCCGCGACCGCUGGCUUCCACCGUCCGCCCCAGCACAUGGCUCACCCGGGACAUCGGACCCUUCACUGCGGAGUACCGGCCUGGUGCAGUCGGGGUCACACAGGGCGGGGAGGACCCCCACGUUUACCUUGAGUAAAUAAGAGUGCUCAGAGCAGGCACAGACAUAGCCUAGAUGGCCAAGCUUGGAAUAAUCGAACUCGGCUCCGGCCUUGUUCUGUUGGUCUCCGAGGCUGGCACGCAAUGAUUAAGAGGGACAGAGCGGGGGCGGACGUACCCGGGCGCGAGAGGUGAAAUUCAGAGACCGUCCGGAGACGCACUAACGCGAAAGCAUUCGCCUAGGAUGUUUUCAUUAAUCAAGAACGAAAGUCGGGGGCGCAAAAACGAUCAGAUACCGUUGUAGUUCCGACCUUAAACGAUGCCAACUAGGGACCCCCCAGAGGUUGUCACCGGCCUCAUGGCCGGCCCCAACACGCCCUGGCGGGGGACCACCCGGGAAACCUUUAAGUCUUUAGGUUCCGGGGGUAGUAUGGUUGCAAAGCUGAAACUUAAAGGAAUUGACGGAAGGGCACCACCAGGAGUGGAGCCUGCGGCUUAAUUCGACUCAACACGGGGCAACUCACCGGGCCCGGACACCGUAAGGAUUGACAGACUGAGGGCUCUUUCUUAAUUCGGUGGUUGGUGGUGCAUGGCCGUUCUUAGUUGGUGGAGUGAUCUGUCUGGUUAAUUCCGUUAACGAGCGAGACCCGGGCCUACUUAUUACGCUCUCAUCCUGUGAAUAGGCAUGGGCUCAUUCGUAUACUUCUUAGAGGGACCUGCGUGGUUGCACACGCUAGAAGCCGGGCCAUAACAGGUCUGUGAUGCCCUUCGAUGUUCCGGGCCGCACGCGUGCUACACUGACAGAGACAAGGGGCUCCCCGCCGCGGGACACCAGCCGGCGAAAACCUGGCAACCUCUGUCGUGCUAGGGACUGGGGCUUGAAAUUCUUGCCCAUGAACGAGGAAUUCCGAGUAAUCGCGGGUUAACAACCUGCGUUGAUUACGUCCCUGCCCUUUGUACACACCGCCCGUCGCUACUACCGAUCGAACGAGCCAGUGAAGCUCCCGGACGGGCCCCGGUCCCUGCCUGGUCAUGCGGGUGGGGGCGUCAUGGAAGAUGCCCAAAAGGGAUACGAACUGGGUUGUUAGAGGAAGUAAAAGUCGUAACAAGGUUUCCGUA
RNAcentral lists this ribosomal RNA (2190 nucleotides) under Syllis pulvinata. Its description in RNAcentral is "partial 18S ribosomal RNA". It matches the Rfam family "Eukaryotic small subunit ribosomal RNA". The record is from RNAcentral. Lineage: Eukaryota; Metazoa; Annelida; Polychaeta; Phyllodocida; Syllidae.